UACGGGGGGGGUAAGCGUUGUUCGGAAUUACUGGGCGUAAAGGGCUCGUAGGCGGCCAACUAAGUCGGACGUGAAAUCCCUCAGCUUAACUGGGGAACUGCGUCCGAUACUGGAUGGCUUGGAUUUGGGAGAGGGAUGCGGAAUUCCAGGUGUAGCGGUGAAAUGCGUAGAUAUCUGGAGGAAUACCGGUGGCGAAGGCGGCAUCCUGGACCGACAUUGACGCUGAGGAGCGAAAGCCAGGGGAGCAAACGGG
RNAcentral lists this ribosomal RNA (253 nucleotides) under uncultured bacterium. Its description in RNAcentral is "partial 16S ribosomal RNA". It matches the Rfam family "Bacterial small subunit ribosomal RNA", at positions 524 to 776 of the family's 1533-position model. The record is from RNAcentral.